RNAcentral lists this long non-coding RNA (1486 nucleotides) under Fragaria vesca (wild strawberry). RNAcentral describes it as "long non-coding RNA (FVES_LNC000220)". Lineage: Eukaryota; Viridiplantae; Streptophyta; Magnoliopsida; Rosales; Rosaceae. The record is from RNAcentral.
UUAUAUAUCUGAUUAUAUCUUAUUCUACUCAAUAAUAUAUUUUAUAUUUUUAUUCUUCUUAUUGGAGCAUGUGAGGAAUUUAUGACAAUACUAAUUUCGAUAAUUUGAGGAAGCUUGGCUUUGUUGCAAAUUUAAGGAAUGAGUGCUUCUCUUCUCCAUCUUGUUUUGGGGAAUGAGAUGGAGAAGUUGUUGGACCUAAAAACAACUCUAUAUUCCCUAAAAUUGAGAAGUUCAAGAAAAUGAGGAAGCUGUUGGAGAUGCUCUAAUUAGUAGGCAUUCCUUGAAUCAAAUUUUUAAGGAAUCAAAGAGGAAAAUAAAGAUAUAACACCUCAAAUUAUUUUUACGCUUCUGUUAUGUUUACUUAAUUGUUUUCUUUAAUAAAUUGCCUAACGUGUCUCUUAGUUUACAUUUUAGAGACUCACGGCCAAUGUAAUGUGCCUAAAGAAAAGAUGCGUAGUUUUGUGGCGUUACAUCUAAUUAACCUCCAAACCCCCACCCAUCAGCGACCAUUGCAUCUGAACUUGUCCCUUGUAGCAGACCUUCUCGCAUCAAAGCGAGCCUCCCCUGAUGGCUACGAUUCCUACGAAGGCUAGGCUAAAAGCAAAUUUCAAAGCCCCCCUCCGAAAACUAAUAUAUUAACCACUCCCAAACUCAAAUUGAAACCAAAUCGAACACAAGAUUGGGCGUGGGUGGUUUUUCUCAACCCCCAAAAAGGGAAACAACGACGUUAAAACCUUUAUGUAUCCGAUAUCUUCUCCAUCGAACUCUAGAACCCCUCCGCCGCGCUCCUCCUUUACUUUAAUGCUCCACCAGGCAUAUCAAUAACAAUAAGGGAGGUGCACCUUUGGUCAUCGUACCCUAGUGAACGCGACCCAGACUUUGCCAACCUCUUGCUCCUACUCCAAGCUUGUUGACGACAAUAUUCCACAGGCGUGCCGUCGGACGAGGGAUUCGUUGAUAUUUUUGUUAGGUUUUCAACUUUCUCCGGUUUUCUUGGAGCAAAUUUUUUUUUUCUUGUAAUAUGGCAAUUACAGAAGCGCAAGAAAAGUGUUUAUUCUUAGGCCCAAUUUGGUAUUGAGUUUUAGGGAAUAAAAUCACUUAUAUUCACCAUUUGGAAAGAUUUACUGUUUGGUAAAAUCUUAACAUUGUAUUUGGAUAAAGUAAUUUCAUUUCCUAUAGAAAAUUUAACAUCACGGGAAUUACAAUUCCUUGAAUUAAAAUUCCUUUAAUUGAGAAUUAUAUUGUUUGGAUUACAUGAUGUAGAGUUUUAAAAUGAUAAGAAUUUGUAUUUAAACUAACUUCAGUUAAAUGAAUUGACAAAUGACUCAUAUAUUGUGUGGAAUUCAAGUAGGGAAUUUAAACUCCCAAAUUCCACGAUUAUUUUCCCGUGGAAAUUACUAAUUCCACAGGAUAAGAAUCCAAACGAUAGAAAAAGUUUUGAGAAAUUGGGAAUUCUUUAUUUUUGAUUAAAUUUAUAGGAAUUCAC